This 253-nucleotide ribosomal RNA is filed under the name uncultured bacterium. RNAcentral's name for it is "partial 16S ribosomal RNA". It matches the Rfam family "Bacterial small subunit ribosomal RNA", at positions 524 to 776 of the family's 1533-position model. The record is from RNAcentral.
UACGUAGGGUGCAAGCGUUGUCCGGAAUUAUUGGGCGUAAAGAGCUCGUAGGCGGCUUGUCACGUCGGGUGUGAAAGACCGGGGCUUAACCCCGGUUCUGCAUUCGAUACGGGCUGGCUAGAGUGUGGUAGGGGAGAUCGGAAUUCCUGGUGUAGCGGUGAAAUGCGCAGAUAUCAGGAGGAACACCGGUGGCGAAGGCGGAUCUCUGGGCCAUUACUGACGCUGAGGAGCGAAAGCGUGGGGAGCGAACAGG